GCUGGAAUUUAACUUACAGAAAUUAAAAAUUACAUAAUUAAAAGAUGCAGAAAUUUAAACUACUCUAUUACAGAAAUUAAAAUUGCAGAAAAAAAAACUAAAUUAUUGCUGAAUAAAAAUUCUGAUACAAAAUUUUUAACUCCUAAACUAUUAAUGAGACUUAGAGUUGGAAUAAAAAAUAAAAUAAAAUAAACUCUCUUACAGAAUUUGAGUU
This 214-nucleotide long non-coding RNA is filed under the name Elaeis guineensis (African oil palm). RNAcentral's name for it is "long non-coding RNA (EGUI_LNC050656)". The record is from RNAcentral. Lineage: Eukaryota; Viridiplantae; Streptophyta; Magnoliopsida; Arecales; Arecaceae.